GACGGAGGAUGCAAGCGUUAUCCGGAAUUAUUGGGCGUAAAGCGUCCGCAGGUGGACAUACAAGUCUGCUGUUAAAGCGCAGGGCUUAACCCUGUAAAGGCGGUGGAAACUGGAGAGCUAGAGUGUGGUAGGGGUAGAGGGAAUUCCCGGUGUAGCGGUGAAAUGCGUAGAGAUCGGGAAGAACACCAGUGGCGAAAGCGCUCUACUGGGCCACAACUGACACUGAUGGACGAAAGCUAGGGGAGCGAAUGGG
RNAcentral lists this ribosomal RNA (253 nucleotides) under uncultured bacterium. RNAcentral's name for it is "partial 16S ribosomal RNA". It matches the Rfam family "Bacterial small subunit ribosomal RNA", at positions 524 to 776 of the family's 1533-position model. The record is from RNAcentral.